AACCUGGUUGAUCCUGCCAGUAGUCAUAUGCUUGUCUCAAAGACUAAGCCAUGCAUGUCUAAGUAUAAGUAUUAUACAGCGAAACUGCGAAUGGCUCAUUAAAACAGUUAUAAUUUAUUUGAUAAUCGAAUUUACAUGGAUAACCGUGGUAAUUCUAGGGCUAAUACAUGCUGGUAGGCCCGACUUUUUGGAAGGGCGGUAUUUAUUAGAUAACAAACCAAUAUUCCUCUGGUCUAUUGUGGUGAAUCAUAAUAACUGAUCGAAUCGCAAGGUUUUUAACCGCGAUAAGUCAUUCAAGUUUCUGCCCCAUCAGCUUUCGAUGGUAGUGUAUUGGACUACCAUGGCUUUUACGGGUAACGGAGGAUUAGGGUUCGAUUCCGG
Molecule: ribosomal RNA, 381 nt
Filed under: uncultured marine eukaryote
Lineage: Eukaryota
Description: SSU rRNA
Rfam family: Eukaryotic small subunit ribosomal RNA
Source: RNAcentral